UUCAAAGUAUCCACCAUCCUACUAAAUACCAAAAUAAUCUAAACAGAACCAGAGUUUAACAAGAGACAAAUAGAUCAAUCAUCAGACAGGUUAUACUCAGAGCCGGAUGCAUCAGCCUCAUCGGCAGCCCUCAUUUCCUCUUCAAGAUUUUGAAGCAUCAGAUUCACUCUUUCUUCGCAUUUGGUCCAGGCUUUUUCAUUCUCAUACGCCUGUUUUCGAGCAGCCUUAUAGGAUUGCACCAUUAAUUUUGACAUAUUGGAGAAUUUAGUGAAGACUUCUUUGAUGGAUUCUCCAACCUUUGCUGGCU
RNAcentral lists this long non-coding RNA (307 nucleotides) under Arachis ipaensis. RNAcentral's name for it is "long non-coding RNA (AIPA_LNC000599)". Lineage: Eukaryota; Viridiplantae; Streptophyta; Magnoliopsida; Fabales; Fabaceae. The record is from RNAcentral.